Molecule: long non-coding RNA, 857 nt
Organism: Cydia pomonella (codling moth)
Lineage: Eukaryota; Metazoa; Arthropoda; Insecta; Lepidoptera; Tortricidae
Exons: 2
Source: RefSeq, a predicted model, not a curated record
AAAUGCCGCUUCUAGAACAGUAAUUGUGUCGGAUGAUGUCAAAUAAAGCUCCAAUUCUCUGAAUUAAUAAAGACUGCUGAUAAAUUGCAUUCCUCUUAAAAUUACUGAUAAGAACCACUAUAAGAAUACUGGUUUUCGAGUGUGAGUUCAGUCUUGCGCCGACGAUACAACAAUGUUGUUCAACAAAGCUGCCUCCCUUUUGAUCCUGCUGAUCAUUUUCACAUUAUGGGAUCACCAGAGCGGUCUAGUGGAGGCAAAACCCUUCAGCUAUUGCCGUGAAUGCGACAGCGUGCCAUAUUACUUAGAUCCCAGCUAUAUUAGAAGCGCUAACGCUAAUAUUAACAUUAACAUUAAUAAGAAUUUGAAUGGGCAUCUGUGUAAACCUUCAGAUAACAGCAACUGUGACUACUUACUAGGGACUGGGUAAAGCGAUCAAUGAACUGUCAUUUUAUAUCUAGUUUUAAGAUCAAAUUUCUGGAGCAUUAGAGUAAGGCCUGAGUGGACGCUCGAAGUGGAGCGUUUGGCGGGGCGUGCAGCGUGGCGUCGGGCUCACAAAUGAUUUAAGCAGCGUGCACUAAGGCCGCUCCUAUACGUUUGCAUUUGUUUAACAUGCACGCUGCACGCCCCGCCGCGCUGCACGCCCAACUCGAGCGUCCACGCAGGCUUUCCACUUAACAACAAGCAACUGUUCAGGUCAUUUUAGAUCUAUGUAUGUAUUCGUUUAUUAAAAACUUUUAUAAACAAUGUAUUUUUUAUUCCCUUGUCUUAUCUUCAUAGACGUAUUAGAACUUUAAAAAGCUCAUCUUGUUUUGAUAUUAGGGGGGCGAGGGCAUGUGUCAAUAAAUUUUACAUUUCAA